AUUGAACGCUGGCGGCAUGCCUAACACAUGCAAGUCGAACGAGACCUUCGGGUCUAGUGGCGCACGGGUGCGUAACGCGUGGGAACCUGCCUUUAGGUUCGGAAUAACUCAGAGAAAUUUGAGCUAAUACCGGAUAAUGUCUUCGGACCAAAGAUUUAUCGCCUUUAGAUGGGCCCGCGUUGGAUUAGCUAGUUGGUGGGUAAAGGCCUACCAAGCCGACGAUCCUUAGCUGGUCUGAGAGGAUGAUCAGCCACACUGGGACUGAGACACGGCCCAGACUCCUACGGAGGCAGCAGUGGGGAAUAUUGGACAAUGGGCGAAAGCCUGAUCCAGCAAUGCCGCGUGAGUGAUGAAGGCCUUCGGGUCGUAAAGGACNCUUUUUACCCAGGGAUGAUAAUGACAGUACCUGGAGAAUAAGCUCCGGCUAACUCCGUGCCAGCAGCCGCGGUAAUGUGACUACUG
Molecule: ribosomal RNA, 462 nt
Filed under: uncultured bacterium
Lineage: Bacteria
Description: bacterial SSU rRNA
Rfam family: Bacterial small subunit ribosomal RNA
Source: RNAcentral